AUUGAACGCUGGCGGCAUGCUUUACACAUGCAAGUCGAACGGCAGCACGGGUGCUUGCACCUGGUGGCGAGUGGCGAACGGGUGAGUAAUGCAUCGGAACGUGCCCAUGAGUGGGGGAUAGCCCGGCGAAAGCCGGAUUAAUACCGCAUACGCCCUUAGGGGGAAAGCGGGGGAUCUUCGGACCUCGCGCUAUUGGAGCGGCCGAUGUCGGAUUAGCUAGUAGGUGAGGUAAAGGCUCACCUAGGCGACGAUCCGUAGCUGGUCUGAGAGGAUGAUCAGCCACACUGGGACUGAGACAGGCCCAGACUCCUACGGGAGGCAGCAGUGGGGAAUUUUGGACAAUGGGCGCAAGCCUGAUCCAGCCAUGCCGCGUGAGUGAAGAAGGCCUCGGUUGUAAGUACGUACUUCUAGUGGUAAGGAAAGUAAGACG
This 430-nucleotide ribosomal RNA is filed under the name uncultured bacterium. RNAcentral describes it as "bacterial SSU rRNA". It matches the Rfam family "Bacterial small subunit ribosomal RNA", at positions 30 to 458 of the family's 1533-position model. The record is from RNAcentral.